RNAcentral lists this ribosomal RNA (464 nucleotides) under uncultured bacterium. RNAcentral's name for it is "partial 16S ribosomal RNA". It matches the Rfam family "Bacterial small subunit ribosomal RNA", at positions 28 to 506 of the family's 1533-position model. The record is from RNAcentral.
GACGAACGCUGGCGGCGUGCUUAACACAUGCAAGUCGAACGGAAAGGCCCUGCUUGCAGGGUACUCGAGUGGCGAACGGGUGAGUAACACGUGGGUGAUCUGCCCUGCACUUCGGGAUAAGCUUGGGAAACUGGGUCUAAUACCGGAUAGGAGCCAUCUUUAGUGUGGUGGUUGGAAAGUUUUUUCGGUGUAGGAUGAGCUCGCGGCCUAUCAGCUUGUUGGUGGGGUAAUGGCCUACCAAGGCGGCGACGGGUAGCCGGCCUGAGAGGGUGUACGGCCACAUUGGGACUGAGAUACGGCCCAGACUCCUACGGGAGGCAGCAGUGGGGAAUAUUGCACAAUGGGCGCAAGCCUGAUGCAGCGACGCCGCGUGGGGGAUGAAGGCCUUCGGGUUGUAAACUCCUUUCGCUAGGGACGAAGCUUUUUGUGACGGUACCUAGAUAAGAAACACCGGCUAACUACGU